UAGGGAAUCUUCGGCAAUGGACGGAAGUCUGACCGAGCAACGCCGCGUGAGUGAAGAAGGUUUUCGGAUCGUAAAGCUCUGUUGUUAGAGAAGAACGUUGGUAGGAGUGGAAAAUCUACCAAGUGACGGUAACUAACCAGAAAGGGACGGCUAACUACGUGCCAGCAGCCGCGGUAAUACGUAGGUCCCGAGCGUUGUCCGGAUUUAUUGGGCGUAAAGCGAGCGCAGGCGGUUCUUUAAGUCUGAAGUUAAAGGCAGUGGCUUAACCAGUGUACGCUUUGGAAACUGGAGGACUUGAGUGCAGAAGGGGAGGGUAGAAUUCCAUGUGUAGCGGUGAAAUGCGUAGAUAUAUGGAGGAACACCGGUGGCGAAAGCGGCUCUCUGGUCUGUAACUGACGCUGAGGCUCGAAAGCGUGGGGAGCAAACAGG
RNAcentral lists this ribosomal RNA (429 nucleotides) under Bacillota bacterium. Its description in RNAcentral is "Firmicutes bacterium partial 16S ribosomal RNA". It matches the Rfam family "Bacterial small subunit ribosomal RNA", at positions 355 to 776 of the family's 1533-position model. The record is from RNAcentral. Lineage: Bacteria; Bacillati; Bacillota.